GCGAGUCAUUGUAGUAAUACAGGCAGACGGCUCAGUAACGCGUACUCUACCUAACCUAUGGACGGGAAUAACCUCGGGAAACUGACUAUAAUGCCCGAUAGAACAUUAUACCUGGAAUGGUUUAUGUUCCAAAUGAUUUAUCGCCGUAGGAUGGGACUGCGGCCUAUCAGUUUGUUGGUGAGGUAAUGGCCCACCAAGACUAUUACAGGUACGGGCUCUGAGAGGAGUAGCCCGGAGAUGGGUACUGAGACACGGACCCAGGCCCUAUGGGGCGCAGCAGGCGAGAAAACUUUGCAAUGUGCGAAAGCACGACAAGGUUAAUCCGAGUGGUUUCUGCUAAAGGAACCUUUUGUCGGUCCUAGAAACACCGAUGAAUAAGGGGUGGUCUUUUUCUG
RNAcentral lists this ribosomal RNA (395 nucleotides) under uncultured crenarchaeote. RNAcentral's name for it is "bacterial SSU rRNA". It matches the Rfam family "Archaeal small subunit ribosomal RNA", at positions 53 to 455 of the family's 1478-position model. The record is from RNAcentral. Lineage: Archaea; Thermoproteati; Thermoproteota.